This 59-nucleotide transfer RNA is filed under the name Sapria himalayana. RNAcentral describes it as "tRNA-fMet". The record is from RNAcentral. Lineage: Eukaryota; Viridiplantae; Streptophyta; Magnoliopsida; Malpighiales; Rafflesiaceae.
AGGUGGGAAGAGGAAUUGGUCGACUCAUCAGGCUCAUGACCUUAAGACUGUCCCCGCCU